Molecule: ribosomal RNA, 2723 nt
Filed under: Clostridioides difficile
Lineage: Bacteria; Bacillati; Bacillota; Clostridia; Peptostreptococcales; Peptostreptococcaceae
Description: bacterial LSU rRNA
Rfam family: Bacterial large subunit ribosomal RNA
Source: RNAcentral
UGGUCAAGUUAUUAAGGGUGCAGGGCGGAUGCCUUGGCACUAGGAGCCGAUGAAGGACGUGAUAAGCUGCGAUAAGCUUCGGGGAGUUGCACGUAAACUUUGAUCCGAAGAUUUCCGAAUGAGGAAACUCACUUAGAGUAAUGUCUAAGUAUCAUUAAGUGAAUACAUAGCUUAAUGAGGGGAACUCAGGGAACUGAAACAUCUAAGUACCUGAAGGAAGAGAAAGAAAUUCGAUUCCGUAAGUAGCGGCGAGCGAACGCGGAUUAGCCCAAACCAAUAAAGUUUUCUUUAUUGGGGUUGCGGACAUAUCAUAACGAAGAGGUAUCGUAAUUGAAGAGGUUUGGAAAGACCCACCACAGAAGGUAAUAGUCCUGUAUGUUAAACGAGAAGACUUCAGAUAUGAUCCAGAGUACCACGGGACACGUGAAACCCUGUGGGAAGCAGGAGGGACCACCCUCCAAGGCUAAAUACUACCUAGUGACCGAUAGCGUAUAGUACCGUGAGGGAAAGGUGAAAAGAACCCCGGGAGGGGAGUGAAAUAGAACCUGAAACCCUGCACUUACAAGCUGUGGAAGCACAUUUCUUGUGUGACCGCGUACUUUUUGUAGAACGGGCCAACGAGUUACGUUAAGUAGCAAGGUUAAGCACUUAAGGUGCGGAGCCGUAGCGAAAGCGAGUUUUAACUGAGCGUUCAGUUACUUGACGUAGACCCGAAACCGGGCGACCUACCCAUGAGCAGGAUGAAGCGAAAGUAAAAUUUCGUGGAGGUCCGAACCCACGAGCGUUGAAAAGCUCGGGGAUGACUUGUGGGUAGCGGUGAAAUUCCAAUCGAGCCCGGAGAUAGCUGGUUCUCCCCGAAAUAGCUUUAGGGCUAGCCUCAAGGUGAGAGAUACGGAGGUAGAGCACUGAAUGUCCUAGGGGGUAUUGCACCUACCGAAGACUAUCAAACUCCGAAUGCCGUCAUCUUAUACUUGGGAGUCAGACUGUGGGUGAUAAGAUUCAUAGUCGAAAGGGCAACAGCCCAGAUCGUCAGCUAAGGUCCCUAAAUGUAAGUUAAGUGGUAAAGGAUGUGGGAUUGCACAGACAACCAGGAUGUUGGCUUAGAAGCAGCCACUCAUUCAAAGAGUGCGUAAUAGCUCACUGGUCGAGUGAUCCUGCGCCGAAGAUUUCCGGGGCUAAAACUUACUACCGAAGCUACGGCAUCAGUAAUGAUGGGUAGGGGAGCUUCCCAUACGGGUUGAAGCAUGACCGUAAGGACAUGUGGACAGUAUGGGAGUGAGAAUGUUGGCAUGAGUAGCGAGAUGUGGGUGAGAAUCCCACAGGCCGUAAACCCAAGGUUUCCAGGGGAAGGUUCGUCCGCCCUGGGUUAGUCGGGACCUAAGCUGAGGCCGAAAGGCGUAGGUGAUGGACAACAGGUUGAUAUUCCUGUACUACCGAUAACCGUUUGAGAGAAGGGAUGACACAGUAGGAUAAGCUAAGCACACUGUUGGUUAUGUGUGCCCAAGCAUUGAGGCAGUCAAAGUAGGCAAAUCCGCUUUGAUAAUGCUGGGAUGUGAUGGGGAGCGAAAUUUAGUAGCGAAGUAGCUGAUUUCACACUGUCAAGAAAAGUCUCUAUCGAGGUUAAAGGUACCCGUACCGCAAACCGACACAGGUGGGUGAGGAGAGUAUCCUAAGGCCAGCGAGAGAACUGUUGUUAAGGAACUCGGCAAAAUGACCCCGUAACUUAGGGAUAAGGGGUGCCACCAUCAGGUGGCCGCAGAGAAUAGGCCCAAGCGACUGUUUACCAAAAACAUAGGUUUCUGCUAAGUCGCAAGACGAUGUAUAGGAGCUGACGCCUGCCCGGUGCUGGAAGGUUAAGGGGAUCUGUUAGAGCAAUCGAAGCAGUGAACUUAAGCCCCAGUAAACGGCGGCCGUAACUAUAACGGUCCUAAGGUAGCGAAAUUCCUUGUCGGGUAAGUUCCGACCCGCACGAAAGGCGUAACGAUUUGGGCACUGUCUCAACAACAGACUCGGUGAAAUUGUAAUUCCGGUGAAGAUGCCGGAUACCUGCGACAGGACGGAAAGACCCCAUGGAGCUUUACUGUAGCUUGACAUUGGGUCUUGGUACUACAUGUACAGGAUAGGUGGGAGGCUUUGAAACCAGGACGCCAGUUUUGGCGGAGCCAUCCUUGGGAUACCACCCUUGUAGUACUGGGACUCUAACCAUAGGCCAUGAAUCUGGUCUUGGGACACUGUCAGGUGGGCAGUUUGACUGGGGCGGUCGCCUCCCAAAAGGUAACGGAGGCGCUCAAAGGUUCUCUCAGUACGGUCGGAAAUCGUACGUAGAGUGUAAAGGCAAAAGAGAGCUUGAUUGCAAGACAUACAGGUCGAGCAAGGAUGAAAAUCGGACUUAGUGAUCCGGUGGUUCUGCGUGGAAGGGCCAUCGCUCAACGGAUAAAAGCUACCCUGGGGAUAACAGGCUUAUCUCCCCCAAGAGUCCACAUCGACGGGGAGGUUUGGCACCUCGAUGUCGGCUCAUCACAUCCUGGGGCUGUAGUAGGUCCCAAGGGUUGGGCUGUUCGCCCAUUAAAGUGGUACGCGAGCUGGGUUCAGAACGUCGUGAGACAGUUCGGUCCCUAUCCGUCGCAGGCGUAGGAAAUUUGAGAAGACCUGUCCUUAGUACGAGAGGACCGGGAUGGACGUACCUCUGGUGUACCAGUUGUCCUGCCAAGGGCAUGGCUGGG